GGUGGACACAGAUCCAGCCUUGUCUGAUUUUAUAAACUAAGAAGGGUUGGGGUUGAUUGGUACUUGGAUGGGAGAUCACGAGGGAAUACCAGUGCUAUCC
Molecule: ribosomal RNA, 100 nt
Filed under: Pogona vitticeps (central bearded dragon)
Lineage: Eukaryota; Metazoa; Chordata; Lepidosauria; Squamata; Agamidae
Source: RNAcentral